This 255-nucleotide ribosomal RNA is filed under the name uncultured bacterium. Its description in RNAcentral is "partial 16S ribosomal RNA". It matches the Rfam family "Bacterial small subunit ribosomal RNA", at positions 524 to 776 of the family's 1533-position model. The record is from RNAcentral.
GACAGAGGUGCCGAGCGUUAGGCGGAAUCACUGGGCUUAAAGCGUGUGUAGGUGGAUGCCUAAGUACCUUGUGAAAUCCCACGGCUUAACCGUGGAACUGCUUGGUAUACUGGGUGUCUUGAGCCAGGCUAGGGGCUACCGGAACAAAUGGUGGGAGCGGUGAAAUGCGUAGAUAUCAUUUGGAACGCCAAUGGUGAAAACAGGUAGCUGGGGCUGUGCUGACACUGAGACACGAAAGCCAGGGGAGCGAACGGG